Molecule: ribosomal RNA, 253 nt
Filed under: uncultured bacterium
Lineage: Bacteria
Description: partial 16S ribosomal RNA
Rfam family: Bacterial small subunit ribosomal RNA
Source: RNAcentral
UACAUGGGGUGCAAACGUUGCUCGGAAUUAUUGGGCGUAAAGCGCGCGUAGGCGGUUACUCAAGUCGGAUGUGAAAGCCCUCGGCUUAACUGAGGAAGUGCACCCGAAACUGAGUAGCUAGAGUACUAAAGAGGGUCGCGGAAUUCCCGGUGUAGAGGUGAAAUUCGUAGAUAUCGGGAGGAACACCGGUGGCGAAGGCGGCGACCUGGGUAGAUACUGACGCUGAGGCGCGAAAGCCAGGGGAGCGAACGGG